GAGGUUUGGGGCAGAAGCUGCAGCGCGUCUCUGCCGUGCGCUGCAGCCGGCCUGGAAGAACCGAGACUACAACAGGAAAAGGCGCAGCCUGUCCUGGCAGUUGCAGGUGUGAGCAUCCAUCCAGCUGUUUGGUGCUCUUGUAUGAUGCUGCAAACAAAC
Molecule: small nucleolar RNA, 159 nt
Filed under: Tetraodon nigroviridis (spotted green pufferfish)
Lineage: Eukaryota; Metazoa; Chordata; Actinopteri; Tetraodontiformes; Tetraodontidae
Description: Small Cajal body specific RNA 16 (ENSTNIG00000020583.1)
Source: RNAcentral